UACAGGGGGUGCAAACGUUGCUCGGAAUCAUUGGGCGUAAAGCGCACGUAGGCGGUUCGUUAUGUCGGAUGUGAAAGCCCUUGGCUUAACCGAGGAAGUGCAUCCGAAACUGGCGAGCUAGAGUACGAAAGAGGAUCGCGGAAUUCCCGGUGUAGAGGUGAAAUUCGUAGAUAUCGGGAGGAACACCGGUGGCGAAGGCGGCGAUCUGGGUCGAUACUGACGCUGAGGCGCGAAAGCGUGGGGAGCAAACAGG
Molecule: ribosomal RNA, 253 nt
Filed under: uncultured bacterium
Lineage: Bacteria
Description: partial 16S ribosomal RNA
Rfam family: Bacterial small subunit ribosomal RNA
Source: RNAcentral